CUACGGGAGGCUCCAGUCGAGAAUCAUUCGCAAUGCGCGAAAGCGUGACGAUGCGACGCUGCGUGUAGGAUGACGGCCUUCGGGUUGUAAACUACUGUCAGAAGGGAGUAAUGUGUUGGAUAUUAAUACCAUCCAGCAGUGAUAGUACCUUCAGAGGAAGCCACGGCUAACUCUGUGCCAGCAGCCGCGGUAAUACAGAGGUGGCGAGCGUUGUUCGGAUUUACUGGGCGUAAAGGGUGCGUAGGCGGUUUUGUGUGUCAGAUGUGAAAGCCAACCUUUCAUGGGUUGAAAUGCAUUUGAAACUGCAGGACUAGAGUACGGAAGAGGAGAGCGGAAUUCAUGGUGUAGCGGUGAAAUGCGUAGAUAUCAUGAAGAACACCGGUGGCGAAGGCGGCUCUCUGGUACGUAACUGACGCUGAGGCACGAAAGCUAGGGUAGCGAAAGGGAUUAGAUACCCCAGUAGUC
RNAcentral lists this ribosomal RNA (465 nucleotides) under uncultured bacterium. RNAcentral describes it as "partial 16S ribosomal RNA". It matches the Rfam family "Bacterial small subunit ribosomal RNA", at positions 339 to 795 of the family's 1533-position model. The record is from RNAcentral.